GCUCGCAGCCUCGAGGCUGCUGGAAGUCCGCCGGGGAGAGGGGCUGCGCGGCUGUAAUCGAGUCCUCUCUCUCCACAGGGCUUCUCCGCGCUGCCCUGGGCAGCCCUCAGCACUCGGGCUGCGGCGCUCCGGCAGCGGACAAGCGGGGCGCGCUUGCUGGCUUUAGAUUUUUACUCCUCAGUUAAUACUGCAUCACAGUCACUGCCGUAAUGACCUUCAUCUGGGCAAAGCAGCUGGAGAGUCAAAAUAUAGUGAGACUGCACAAAAAGACUGGAGCAAGAAAAUGCAAAGUAUUCCUCUCUCCCUUUCCUGCCAGGAUUCUGCGGUGUUGAGUGGCUUCCAGGCACAAACAUCAUUUCACUUAUCCUGAAAAGCAGCUACAUCCAAGAUGAAAACAGGACCACCGUAUUGGACAACAAGGUUUCUAGUUCCAGGAAUCAAGAUGCUACUCUUUGGAUGGCAAACAAUUUCCCAAGUUCAGUGAACAAGCUUUCUGUCUUGCAAAUAUUUCAACUGAGACAGGGUUUUCAAUUUCUAUGGUUAACACAGAGAAAGAAAAUCUAAAAGUAGAAGCAUAAAUUUUGUAAGCAGCAAUGGAACACUGCUAGGAUUUUUCUAUAUGUCAGAAAAUAUUUUAUACUUAAAUAUCAAUAUUGGAGUGAAACUUGUCUGAGCUGCAUUUUGGAAAUCCUGUAUUUUCUUACUGUCAUGUUUUGAUCUAUGGGAAGUUACAGCAAACUUUUUGUACCACUGAUUCUUUAACUCUAGCAAGCUCCAGCUGUAGAUACAUAAUACUCAUCUCCCAUGCUGCUCCACCGUGGUUAGCAAUCAACCCAUUGUCUUCCGCAUACAAAGGCUACUCCUCUAGUAAUCAGACACUGAGACAGGGAUGAAAUCAUUAUGGAAAAUAGUACUAGAAAGAACACAAAGACUCACAACGGGCCAAAGUGUCUCUGCUGCAACCCUUACUCCAAUUAAAAUAUACUGCAGAUUAGCUUGUCUCAGUGACUACUGAAGAAGGAAAUUAAAGGGACAAGCACACAUAUCAUAGAAGUUUAAAUUACACUUCCCUUCAGUGUAAUCUGAAAUCACUGUUAUGCUGUGUGGGAAUAA
Molecule: long non-coding RNA, 1113 nt
Filed under: Struthio camelus australis
Lineage: Eukaryota; Metazoa; Chordata; Aves; Struthioniformes; Struthionidae
Description: lncRNA (ENSSCUG00000002650.1)
Source: RNAcentral